Molecule: ribosomal RNA, 476 nt
Filed under: uncultured organism
Description: partial 16S ribosomal RNA
Rfam family: Bacterial small subunit ribosomal RNA
Source: RNAcentral
CGUACACUCCUGCGGGAGGCAGCAGUGGGGAAUAUUGCACAAUGGGCGCAAGCCUGAUGCAGCCAUGCCGCGUGUAUGAAGAAGGCCUUCGGGUUGUAAAGUACUUUCAGCGGGGAGGAAGGCGAUAAGGUUAAUAACCUUGUCGAUUGACGUUACCCGCAGAAGAAGCACCGGCUAACUCCGUGCCAGCAACCGCGGUAAUACGGAGGGUGCAAGCGUUAAUCGGAAUUACUGGGCGUAAAGCGCACGCAGGCGGUCUGUCAAGUCGGAUGUGAAAUCCCCGGGCUCAACCUGGGAACUGCAUUCGAAACUGGCAGGCUAGAGUCUUGUAGAGGGGGGUAGAAUUCCAGGUGUAGCGGUGAAAUGCGUAGAGAUCUGGAGGAAUACCGGUGGCGAAGGCGGCCCCCUGGACAAAGACUGACGCUCAGGUGCGAAAGCGUGGGGAGCAAACAGGAUUAGAAACCCGGGUAGUCCCA